RNAcentral lists this ribosomal RNA (206 nucleotides) under uncultured bacterium. Its description in RNAcentral is "partial 16S ribosomal RNA". It matches the Rfam family "Bacterial small subunit ribosomal RNA", at positions 568 to 774 of the family's 1533-position model. The record is from RNAcentral.
UCCGUAGGCGGGCCUGUAAGUCAGGGGUGAAAGUUUGUGGCUCAACCAUAAAUUGCCUUUGAUACUGCAGGUCUUGAGUCAUGGUGGGGUUGCCGGAACAUGUGGUGUAGCGGUGAAAUGCAUAGAUAUCACAUAGAACACCGAUCGCGAAGGCAGGUGACCAACCAUGUACUGACGCUGAUGGACGAAAGCGUGGGUAGCGAACG